UCUAUAUAAUCAUACUAAAUUUUUAAAAAAUUAUUUUAAAAAACAUGGCAAGCGAUAAAAUUAUAGCUACAAUUUUAAAAAUUAAAGUAGAUUAGGAACCAUCGAUUACACUCAUUUUCAUAUUUUUUUGUUUAACAUAAGCCGUUGAAAAUGAUUUUGAAUUAUUGUAUAAAUUUAAAUAUUUAAUAAAACCGCCCUCAACCCCACCUUGAACUGAACUGAACUGGCCAGGGAGAGUAAAACGAUGGAAGCCAUAACAUUUAUUUUCCACGAUAAAUACUGACAAGGUGUUCCAAGAAAACAAAAUGGCGAACAAGGGAAUAUUUUCAGUUCGAUUCAGGCUUUUAAAAUUCAUACUGUGGAUCAUACAACUGCAUACAGAGAAGAUAAAAGUCAAGAUGAAGUUCAAUUUAAAAACUGAUCCAAGGAUACAUGUUGGACCCAAGAAAACUUGUUCAUAUUGAACAACUAUUUUUUUAUUUUAGUUCUAAAUGAAUAUGGUAAUUAAAAAAAGAAAAUUAUGAA
Long non-coding RNA from Physella acuta, 525 nucleotides. RefSeq lists it as uncharacterized. The record is from RefSeq and is a predicted model, not a curated record. NCBI's taxonomy places the organism in Eukaryota, Metazoa, Mollusca, Gastropoda, Physidae.